UAUAAAUUUAAAAUUUUUUUUUGUGGAUUAAAUUGUUUUAAUGGAAGAAGAAAGAAGAAAAAUCUACAAUGCUAGAAGAAGGGGAAAAUAUCGUAAAAGUGGAAAACGUAAAAGAUACGUUUUCACAGCGACAAUUUCCAACGAUUCUAGUGAAAUAAAAAAAAAGGGUUGAAAAAAAAAUGCCACUGGGAAAAAUGAAAAAUAAUAUUAAGGACAAAGGAAGCUUGAAUGUUACAUGGCAAGUGAAGUCCUACUGGAAAAUAUGGUGACAGGCAAUCAAAGCAAUUUCUACACUUCAAAAGGAGCAGAUCCAAUACCAAACCAACAUUACAUUUAUUUACUUAAAUUAGUUUUUUAGUAACUGCCUUCUCCACUGAAGUUUCGAAUACUUUCAUUCAGGACUUGGUGGCUUAAUACAAGAAUUCCACGAAGCAGAAAUCCUUGGAUAUAUGGUAGAAGAAAACAGCAGACCAGAGGGGGUUAGUUGCCUAUCUGAAUGGAAACAAGGAAAGGCAUUUGAAAAAACACAACAAAAAACAACAACAAAAGGCACUAUAGCUCCCACAUUGUGGGACCCACAAGUACCGAAUGUCCUGAUUUCGAUUGCUGCACUAUUUGCUGUAGCUCUGUAAGCAACUAUGCUGUUUGUUGUAGCACAUGCAAAAGGAAAUUGUGUGUUUCAUGUCACAAAAAAUUUCAUUUAUCACGUCCUUUCAUCAACGCACAUUUUACAUAAAGGAUACAGUUUCAUCCAGUAAGCCGUUGCCUACCAACUUUGUUGACUGUGACACCCGUGAAAUUACUGUUCAAAGAAUACCAGUGGCAUGUCAGGUCACUUCCUCCUGCCCGUUAUGUUGUAAGUCCGGGACGUUACUUCUGAAUGCGAGCGGCAAAGACAAGUAUGUCGUAACUUUGCAGGGUCAAAAGUCAUGCCCAACUGUAACGCCUUUGACAAUAUUGGAUUCGUCAAAAUGACAAACAUACAGUUUGGAUGUUUUUUUAAGUCCAGGAAUAACUGAUUGCCACUUUACGCACUUAUUCUCAACUU
Daphnia magna is the source of this 1048-nucleotide long non-coding RNA. RefSeq lists it as uncharacterized. The transcript is spliced from 4 exons. The record is from RefSeq and is a predicted model, not a curated record. NCBI's taxonomy places the organism in Eukaryota, Metazoa, Arthropoda, Branchiopoda, Diplostraca, Daphniidae.